CUGUUCAAAGUAUACAGAAUGUCACACCUUCUGCACCAUUACUACAACUCAGAGACCCCUAAACUCGACAUCCAACCCCAGCAUCACUCAAAUAGGUCCAGACCAUUAUCCCCUCCUGACCAUCGGGUAUGUCCUUGUGGUUGUCCUGGUGACCACUCUGUUAAUGGCCUGUCUCAUUGUCCUGACUAAGGGUGGAUGGAGGGUACAUGGCUGUUGUGCGACCCCUGAAAAGGACCUCCAGUUGCCUACAAGGGACACAUCAGCCAACGGUCAGCCAAAUGGCCAAACUUCACUGGUAAGUAUCCGUUUCUUGUGUUAUAUUUGGAUCAUUAUCAGUUAUAG
This is a long non-coding RNA of Coregonus clupeaformis (lake whitefish), 342 nucleotides long. RefSeq lists it as uncharacterized. Lineage: Eukaryota; Metazoa; Chordata; Actinopteri; Salmoniformes; Salmonidae. The record is from RefSeq and is a predicted model, not a curated record. The transcript has 3 exons.